Molecule: long non-coding RNA, 224 nt
Organism: Polyodon spathula (Mississippi paddlefish)
Lineage: Eukaryota; Metazoa; Chordata; Actinopteri; Acipenseriformes; Polyodontidae
Exons: 7
Source: RefSeq, a predicted model, not a curated record
ACCAUUGAUGGGGAACUUAAGCCCACAUGAAAGUGUCUGAAUGUUCAGACCUGGCUAAUCUUCUGUUCCCCGAUUGGCGACAGGUACGAUCUAAAGAUGGCCGACGUGGAAGAAGCAGUGGGGGAAGUUCAGGAGGAGGAAGCCCCAGUGGAAGCUCCUGCUGAGGAAGAAGCACCAGCUUCUGCUGAGGAAGAACCACUGCAGGAAGAACUGCCACCUCCAGG